AGUAGAUUGGGAAACUCGUCAAUUUUACGUGAAAUACCGAGACAAGUCUGCCGACCAAUGGCGGGCCUCAGCGACAGCUCCGGCUGUCGUAGCCUCUGAGCCGGAGGAUUACAAAGGGCGGCAGGCUCUCAAAUCCUGUCUUUUCGGAGUUUCAUCGCAUCCUUUGAUGUGGCAUUUA
RNAcentral lists this small RNA (178 nucleotides) under human gut metagenome. RNAcentral describes it as "Bacteroidales-1 6S-Bacteroidales RNA suggested". It matches the Rfam family "Bacteroidales-1 6S-Bacteroidales RNA suggested". The record is from RNAcentral.